This 266-nucleotide unclassified non-coding RNA is filed under the name Hevea brasiliensis (rubber tree). Lineage: Eukaryota; Viridiplantae; Streptophyta; Magnoliopsida; Malpighiales; Euphorbiaceae. The record is from RNAcentral.
GGAGUGAAAAGGGUGACAGGUGCACCAAUGAAGUCGUGAGUUAAAGUGAUUAAGUAUUUAGGCAUGGAAGUGUGUGCUUUCAUACUUUAUAGGGAGGGGGAAGUGAUGAGGUUAAGUUGUGGAUUGAUGAUUGAUAUGGUUUGACACUAUUCAUUGUAGAUUCAUUGAUGAAUUGGUAUGGUGGAUGAGCACAUCGAAGCUAUGGGAGUGAAAAGGGUGAGAGGUGCACCAAUGAAGUCGUGAGUUAAAGUGAUUAAGUAUUUAGG